UACGUAGGGGGCAAGCGUUGUCCGGAUUUAUUGGGCGUAAAGAGCGUGUAGGCGGCCAGGUAGGUCAGCUGUGAAAACUCGAGGCUCAACCUCGAGACGUCGGUUGAAACCACCUGGCUAGAGUCCGGAAGAGGAGAGUGGAAUUCCUGGUGUGGCGGUGAAAUGCGCAGAUAUCAGGAAGAACACCCGUGGCGAAGGCGGCUCUCUGGGACGGUACUGACGCUGAGACGCGAAAGCGUGGGGAGCAAACAGG
RNAcentral lists this ribosomal RNA (253 nucleotides) under uncultured bacterium. RNAcentral's name for it is "partial 16S ribosomal RNA". It matches the Rfam family "Bacterial small subunit ribosomal RNA", at positions 524 to 776 of the family's 1533-position model. The record is from RNAcentral.